GAUGAACGCUGGCGGCGUGCCUAAUACAUGCAAGUCGAGCGAAGCGGGGACGGGUGAGUAACACGUGGAUAACCUCCUAUAAGACUGGAUAAACUUGGGGAACCCGAGCUAAACCCGGUAAUUAUAGAUUGGUUUUGGGUGCAUUUGCUUGUUGGUAAGGUAACGGCUUACCAAGGCAACGAUGCAUAGCCGACCUGAGAGGGUGAUCGGCCACACUGGAACUGAGACACGGUCCAGACUCCUACGGGAGGCAGCAGUAGGGAAUCUGCCGCAAUGGGCGAAAGCCUGACGGAGCAACGCCGCGUGAGUGAUGAAGGUCUUCGGAUCGUAAAACUCUGUUAUUAGGGAAGCGGUACCUAAUCAGAAAGCCACGGCUAACUACGUGCCAGCAGCCGCGGUAAUAC
Molecule: ribosomal RNA, 404 nt
Filed under: uncultured bacterium
Lineage: Bacteria
Description: partial 16S ribosomal RNA
Rfam family: Bacterial small subunit ribosomal RNA
Source: RNAcentral